GUGCUAGGUGGUGCUAUGAAGUGUUAGGUGGUGCUAUGAAGUGCUAGGUGGUGCUAUGAAGUGCUAGGUGGUGCUAUGAAGUGUUAGGUGGUGUUAGGUGGUGUUAGGUGGUGUUAAGUAGUGUUAGGUGGUGCUAUGGUGUGUUAGGUGGUGUUAGGUGGUGUUAGGUGGUGUUAAGUAGUGUUAGGUGGUGCUAGGUGGUGCUAUGAAGUGGUAGGUGGUGCUAGGUGGUGCUAUGAAGUGCUAGGUGGUGCUAUGAAGUGUUAGGUGGUGCUAGGUGGUGCUAUGAAGUGGUAGGUGGUGGUAGGUAGUGCUAUGAAGUGUUAGGUGGUGCUAUGAAGUGUUAGUUGGUGCUAGGUGAUGCUAUGAAGUGUUAGGUGGUGCUAUGAAGUGUUAGGUGGUGCUAUGAAGUGUUAGGUGGUGCUAGGUGGUGCUAUGAAGUGUUAGGUGGUGCUAUGAAGUGUUAGUUGGUGCUAGGUGAUGCUAUGAAGUGUUAGGUGGUGCUAUGAAGUGUUAGGUGGUGCUAUGAAGUGUUAGGUGGUGCUAGGUGGUGCUAUGAAGUGUUAGGUGGUGCUAUGAAGUGUUAGGUGGUGCUAUGAAGUGUUAGGUGGUGCUAGGUGGUGCUAUGAAGUGGUAGGUGGUGCUAUGAAGUGUUAGUUGGUGCUAGGUGGUGCUAUGAAGUGCUAGGUGGUGCUAUGAAGUGUUAGGUGGUGCUAGGUGGUGCUAUGAAGUGGUAGCUGGUGUUAGGUGGUGCUAGGUGUUGCUCGGUGGUGCGCUAUGAAGUGUUAGGUGGUGUUAGGUUGUGUGAGGUGGUGCUAAGUGAUGCUAUGAAGUGGUAGGUGGUGCUAGGUGGUGCUAUGAAGUGCUAGGUGGUGCUAGGUGGCACUAUGAAGUGUUCGGUGGUGCUAGGUGGUGCUAUGAAGUGCUAGGUGGUGCUAGGUGGUGCUAUGAAGUGUUAGGUGGUGCUAUGAAGUGUUAGGUGGUGUUAGGUAGUGUUAGGUGGUGCUAUGAAGUGCUAGGUGGUGCUAGGUGGUGCUAUGAAGUGUUAGGUGGUGUUAGGUAGUGUUAGGUGGUGCUAGGUGGUGCUAUGAAGUGCUAGGUGGUGCUAUGAAAUGCUAAGUGGUGCUAGGUGGUGCAAUGAAGUGUUAG
Molecule: long non-coding RNA, 1149 nt
Organism: Oncorhynchus tshawytscha (Chinook salmon)
Lineage: Eukaryota; Metazoa; Chordata; Actinopteri; Salmoniformes; Salmonidae
Source: Ensembl